Molecule: non-coding RNA, 1047 nt
Organism: Drosophila melanogaster (fruit fly)
Lineage: Eukaryota; Metazoa; Arthropoda; Insecta; Diptera; Drosophilidae
Source: Ensembl
GGGAAACUAUCUCUUUCUCUCGCUCAACUCAGUUGUUCUCUCUUCUGCUGUCGCUCUCGCUGCCCACUGUCAGCUCUCAACGUUCCGAUUGUCAAAAAGAUAUUUCAGUCGAAUGUUUUAGUUUCGACCUCGGCCGAGCUGGAGACUCAUCUAACGGCUUUCUCAGCGGCAAGUUCGAAAUCAUGUCGCCUUUGAACGGUGGGUGGUGCAGCAGUAACGGUACAUCGCUCGACCUACGACUAAAUUGCGAGUGCAGAAAAUAGUGUUCACGGAAUUAACAGACCUCGAAAAUCCAAGUGUAGGCGAAUAAAUAAACGAAAUUAUCGUGGAAAGCCAUCAAUAAAUCACCAAAUUAAUAGCCCUGACGAGCACCCACGGCAUACGCACAGCUGUUGUGUGUGCAAAGUGAGAAGAGGAAGCUAAAGGAAGUGAAAUUGGCGGCAGUUUGACCGCAACAGCAAUAAAAUACGUCUGCAACCCACAAACGCACGCUCACAUACACCCGUUCGUCAUCGAAUCGUCGUGGUCCUCCGCUUCCCAGUCCUCGCCCGCCCCUCUUCGACACACGAACCAUUGUGACAUUUGAUUUAUAUGACGUGUGUGUUUUUGAUAGAAGUUCAACACGAAACUGUCACACAAACACACGUAUGCUCGCCGAGGAAUUUAUUCAGUGAACGAAAAUAAAAUCAGAGCUCCGUACGCACUUGGCCGCAGUGAAACGAAUCCGCCACCAUCGAUGAGCAGGCGGACGAAAGUCGGAAGUAUCGCCAGGCAGUCCAGUAAUCAAACCUUUGGAGAGCGAGCCCGGAUACCCAGUUUUCUACAAAAUGAUGCUGCACGAGGCCGUCAUGCUGGAAAUCUAUCGCCAGGCGCUGAGUGCAAGGUGAGCGCUUCCUCCGAUUUGCUGUUCCACGCCAAUAGCGAUUCGAUACGGGGUUUCCCGAGGAGGUUGGGCAGUUCCCUUUGGAGAUGCAGUGCUUUAUUUCGAUUAUUUAGUCGAAAGCUGCAUAAAGUUAAUUGGGCAUAAAUAAAAGAUAUAACUAAAAC